This 546-nucleotide long non-coding RNA is filed under the name Ananas comosus (pineapple). RNAcentral's name for it is "long non-coding RNA (ACOM_LNC034696)". Lineage: Eukaryota; Viridiplantae; Streptophyta; Magnoliopsida; Poales; Bromeliaceae. The record is from RNAcentral.
UAAUUAGUUUAGAUCAUAUCCGUUGAGUAAUAAUAAUGAAAUGAUGGUGGAUUAAGUCUUUGGUUUUAAUUGAUUUUUAUGCGGAUUAUUAGUUUUCUGUGAUCAUUUCCUUUUUAGUAGUUUAGUUGUCCUCCUUCUAUAUCUACUUGUUAGUAAUUAUUGUUGUACAUCGGUAUGGUUGUUUGUAUGGUUGAUGUUUGUAUUCAGGUGCUACGCCGUGUAUGUAUAAGGAAGACUCUGUCUGUUUAUUUAGGAGAUUCUUUAUCCACGUGGUGGAUUUGUCCACAUCCACGGGGUGUUUUCAAAGGUAUUCUUUUUUAAAAAAAUUAUACGUUUUUUGCUGGCUUUACUGAAAUGAGUUUAAAAAAACACCUGGGGGGUGACAAUUUAUUUGGCCGUGUUGAAAAAAAUAUAGAUUAUUAUAGCCAUUAAUGUUAUUUUUAUGAAAUUGUUCGGAUUGUACGUGGAUUGUUAAAAUUUUUAUUUAAUUGUUAUAAUUGUCUUGUAAUAUAAGAAAGAAACGAUGAAUUAUUCAUCAAAUUUUGU